Molecule: long non-coding RNA, 480 nt
Filed under: Macaca mulatta (Rhesus monkey)
Lineage: Eukaryota; Metazoa; Chordata; Mammalia; Primates; Cercopithecidae
Description: lncRNA (ENSMMUG00000059977.1)
Source: RNAcentral
AUUUCUCCCAAAAAAUAAAAUUCUAGUCUCCUUGGGAGAUUCAAUGACCAUACAUACAAUUUUAGCCCAAGCAUGUCUUCUUGGCUUUGUACCCAUCAGAUGCCUGAUGUUUCCAAGUGCAGAACCUCUUAGGGGUUUAUUGGACAAUGUAGCUCAUCUGUGUUGCUGCCCCACCUGUGCCAGCAGAUUCAGAAAUGCCUGAAUUUGCAAAAUAUUUGAGUUUCGAUCAUCAUAGGCAAGGUGAAAUAGAAAGUCGAAGAAAUCAUCUCGAUCAUUACAGUAAAGUACCACUUCUUUCUGUGGAGAAAAGAGAACAUGCCUUUGUCUUUUAUGAAACUGGCUAUAUGAAGAUUCAUGAGAGACCUUAAUGACAGAAGUGAACAAUGUGUAGACAAGCUGACAACAUUUCAUCACAAUCUACUGCUAUGGUCAGGGGCUUAUGCUUAUGCUGCUUGUUAAAUGCAGUGACUAACACAGCAU